RNAcentral lists this ribosomal RNA (500 nucleotides) under uncultured bacterium. RNAcentral describes it as "partial 16S ribosomal RNA". It matches the Rfam family "Bacterial small subunit ribosomal RNA", at positions 30 to 523 of the family's 1533-position model. The record is from RNAcentral.
AUUGAACGCUGGCGGAAUGCUUUACACAUGCAAGUCGAACGGCAGCACGGACUUCGGUCUGGUGGCGAGUGGCGAACGGGUGAGUAAUGUAUCGGAACGUGCCCAGUCGUGGGGGAUAACGUAGUGAAAAUUACGCUAAUACCGCAUACGAUCUAUGGAUGAAAGCGGGGGAUCGCAAGAACUCGCGCGAUUGGAGCGGCCGAUAUCAGAUUAGGUAGUUGGUGGGGUAAAGGCCCACCAAGCCAACGAUCUGUAGCUGGUCUGAGAGGACGACCUGCCACACUGGAACUGAGACACGGUCCAGACUCCUACGGGAGGCAGCAGUGGGGAAUUUUGGACAAUGGGCGAAAGCCUGAUCCAGCCAUUCCGCGUGCAGGAUGAAGGCCCUCGGGUUGUAAACUGCUUUUGUACAGAACGAAAAGGUUUCUACUAAUACUAGGAGCUCAUGACGGUACUGUAAGAAUAAGCACCGGCUAACUACGUGCCAGCAGCCGCAGUAA